AACAAGCACUGUUACCUCACCAACUUGCAAACAACUCAGUUUCAGGCAUAAAUGUAGUAGGGAAUUCUAGAUCCACUGUCACAGAUACAACCAAACUAGAUUACAAAAUAAUAUAAAACAAAUUUAUUCAUGGAUCUAAACACAAUGAAAUCUUCUAUUUUGCACAUCUAUGAUGGGGAGCAGGACUGCAUCAUUUCCAAAAGAAAUAAACAAGUAGAAACUUUGGAUCACGAGACCAUUUUACAACGGGUUCUCAACUUUGCAACUUCUAGGAGCAAC
RNAcentral lists this long non-coding RNA (279 nucleotides) under Elaeis guineensis (African oil palm). Its description in RNAcentral is "long non-coding RNA (EGUI_LNC029896)". Lineage: Eukaryota; Viridiplantae; Streptophyta; Magnoliopsida; Arecales; Arecaceae. The record is from RNAcentral.